RNAcentral lists this ribosomal RNA (491 nucleotides) under fungal sp. E14923A. RNAcentral describes it as "eukaryotic LSU rRNA". The stretch from base 146 to 299 matches the Rfam family "5.8S ribosomal RNA". The record is from RNAcentral. Lineage: Eukaryota; Fungi.
GGGGAAUAGAGUUCUACUCCCAACCCAUGUGAACUUACCUUUUGUUGCCUCGGCAGAAGUUAUAGGUCUUCUUAUAGCUGCUGCCGGUGGACCAUUAAACUCUUGUUAUUUUAUGUAAUCUGAGCGUCUUAUUUUAAUAAGUCAAAACUUUCAACAACGGAUCUCUUGGUUCUGGCAUCGAUGAAGAACGCAGCGAAAUGCGAUAAGUAAUGUGAAUUGCAGAAUUCAGUGAAUCAUCGAAUCUUUGAACGCACAUUGCGCCCAUUAGUAUUCUAGUGGGCAUGCCUGUUCGAGCGUCAUUUCAACCCUUAAGCCUAGCUUAGUGUUGGGAAUCUACUUCUCUUAGGAGUUGUAGUUCCUGAAAUACAACGGCGGAUUUGUAGUAUCCUCUGAGCGUAGUAAUUUUUUUCUCGCUUUUGUUAGGUGCUAUAACUCCCAGCCGCUAAACCCCCAAUUUUUUGUGGUUGACCUCGGAUCAGGUAGGAAUACCC